RNAcentral lists this long non-coding RNA (33326 nucleotides) under Ananas comosus (pineapple). Its description in RNAcentral is "long non-coding RNA (ACOM_LNC041373)". The record is from RNAcentral. Lineage: Eukaryota; Viridiplantae; Streptophyta; Magnoliopsida; Poales; Bromeliaceae.
UAGUUGUUCACACCUAGGAUUCAUAAUUUUUAUAACAUCUAGUCCUUGAUUCCACACUUGUUGAGUUCUCUAAUUUUCCUAAUAUAUGUUUUCAUAUGUCUAUUGUUCUCGUCUAAUGGUAGGUAAUUCCAUCUAUUAACAUAUGAUUCAUAUAUCCAUAUCUGCCACAUACAACCUACCACUACAUGCAUCAAGUAAACAUAUAUUAAAUUUUACUCUUUCGACGUGGAAAUGACCUAAUCACUUUGGUGAAGCACAACCCACCUUGUAGUGCUCCCAAUUGCUUGUAGACACUUGCAAUUGGGCCAAACUCUUGGAUCUCCAAGCUUACUCCCAAGCUUUUCUUGUUCUAUACAAGAGAUCCAUUUAUUACCAAUUUCGAAGCCCUAAAUAAUUUUUUCUCUUGAAAUCAAAUUGCCCCAUUUGAUUUCCUAACCCUCAAUUAGAGUUUUAAAGGGUUAAAACAUUUUUAAAACCCUCCAUAAGAAAAUCCCUCUUUCAACAUAGGGUUUUCCAAUUUUUCAAGAAUACUUCGAAAUUUAUGGAGAAUCCUUAAUCAAACUAGUGAAGAAUCAUCUAGGGAGCUCAGAAACCUCAAUUUCAAGAGAUUUAACAAAAACCCUAAACCUUAGUCCAAGAAACUCACUUUGGAUCGCAAGUUUUCCAAGUCGCCACGCGCACUAGGGCUCCGUUCUCCACUCCUACGAGCUUUCUAAGCUCGAUCUCCACCAAAACCUUCAAGUUUGGAGAAGAAAAGGAAGAAGAUGAGAGUGAGAGAGAAGAGCUUCUCUCUCCUCUUUCUCCCUGUGUGUGUGCAUGUGUUUGGGUUAAUAGAGGAAAAGGGAGCAGGCUACCUUUUAUAUAGCCCCACAUUGACUUUACCAAAAUAACCCUCAAAAACUACAUUCUACAUAACUGCAUACCGGUACUCGGAUAUGCGUACUGCUACUCGGGCAUUUAGUUCCUGUACCCCAUCUCCAGUUCCUAAAAAAUCUGAACAUUGAAUUUUUAGAUUUUCUACUGCGUACUGGUACUUAGUUUCCAGUACCAGUACCCAAUACAAAUUCAGUAUCGCUACUCAGGUUUGAUUUCUCAAAAUCCGAGAGCUCAUUUCUCACAUUUUGUAUUGAAUACCGGUACUGAAAACUAGGCACCCAAUUUCCAGUACAAAUACUCAAUACAAAAUCUGCAGGUUUGACAGAUUUAGCAUUCCGAAGUCCGUCUUCGCAUCCAAUUUGUGCCGAAAACACUCAAAUACUCCCCAAAUUUCGCCGAAAUUAUUUUAUUAGCUCUUAAGUAAGUUCCCACCAAAACUUCAUAAUUGUAGAAGUUCGGUAUAUUACAAUACUAAAGUCCUUUAAUGUCAUCAUCGGAACUCCUUUCGAUGGACCAAAAUACUUUUGGCUCUUCCAACUAAGUGUGAUUAAUUGUCUUAAUUUCUCGUGGGUUCCACAACUCACAAAUGACGCCGAGCAGUAUGUUAUAGCAAUCCAAGUACAAUGAAUAAUGGUCUGAACCUCUAAAUAUAGUAGUUGUGUGAUUAAAUCCUUGUAUCAUUUAUUCCGAUUGAGUCCAAUUGAGCUGAGAUUAUGAAUAAAUCGUCAAACCCAAUUACUCAAUCAUAUGUCUCGUCCGAUUAACAGUUGCUGGCAUAUGAAAACUCUUUUCCAUAAAUUCACAACCUUGGAUAAAAACUUUUACAUCUUGUAAAUUAAAUAGUAUAAAAUAAUUACCUCUCUACUGAGGAUAAUAGAUUUCACCUUAACACACCUCACAAAUUUCAUACUAGAAGUGCGUCCGAAGCAAGCAAAUGGAGCACGCUCAAGCAUUACAUCUUUGUCACAUUCCCAACGGAAAAACACUCACUAGCUUCAGAAUAUUCCCAACGGCUUUUUCAAUCCUCCUACGCGUUCCUCAAAUAGCUUCAUAAGAUGCAAGUGCCGGAAAAAUAAAAAAACUCAGACAAGAUUGAUACCAAAUUAGUAAACCGCAAAGAAACAGCGGACAUCAAAAUAAGGGAAAGAAAAAUGAAAACAAGAGCCCGAAUAGAUUAUUGUUAAGAGGUUGAAGGGGAUGCAUGUAAUUUUACACUUUCUGAUGAGGUUGAACAUAUGAGCAGAAAAAACUCUCGACCAACUCCAAACAAAUUGGAAAAUUAUACACAAUUUCACCGCAUGCUGUGAAGAUUAUGACUACACAUCUACAGCACCACAAGAAGUCCGAAAAUCGUCCCCUCAAUGAGAGCGCAGUUCUUGAAGCAGAGGGCCUAACUUUUGAGUCCCAAGAUACAACGCAUCCACUAAGAUAAUAAGGCCAAUCUGUAAUAUCAAACAAAACACAAUUAUACUUCAGAAGUAAACAAUUUAGUUAAACCAAAUUUUCUCAUCACAUAGAAACAAGUUACUUACCAGACGGCCGGUGAAAACUAAUCGAUAACUCCAUCCUUCUUUCGCAGCUAACGCACGUUGCUGAUCUGUCCAACUGCAAUCAGCAUAUAAAUUAAAUAGAAAAAUAGAGGAAUUACAAAUAUUUUCCUAAGAGAACAAGGGGAAGCUAAAGCUUCUAAGGAGACUGCCAUUUUAGUUCUCAAGGGUGAGGUGGUACCCGAAGAACUCAGAAACUCCCCCAAUUCCUGCAAGUUUGAAAGGUUGAGGACCUUCCCUUUGAAGAUCCUGCUCAUGGAAAGGUUUAAUGUGUGAAAAUUAUAGGAACUGAACGAGUAUCCAUAAAAUAAGGACUGCUUUAUAUCCCAAAGUAUAAAAAGAACAUGAUUGUGGAUCUCUCUACGGCAAACAAAUGUAAUUACAGCAUUUUCCUUCCACCAUGUACCUCUUCUUCAGCAGCUUCCAGACCUCCUUGUAUCCAGAAUAGGUUUCGAAAACCAGCAUUGUAUAGCUGCUCACAAGCCGCAAGGGAUCUGCAGAAAACCACGCAUAUUUAUGAGAUGGGAUGUUCUCUUUAAGGACUCACCUAUAUAUUGUUAAAUUAGAGAGUAGAAAUUAGUAUUUCUUGAUAACUUUUAAUGAGAUAAAUAGCUACAAAAGAUAAAAGAAAAUAGCUUGAGUUGUGAAGUUAUGCUUGUGAUGCUUUCUGUAGAGUCUUGACUCUUGAACGCCUCCAAUGGUGCACAAGGAUGAUCCACAUGGUAUUCCUUACGAUACAAUCAUACUCCGCUAGCAUCCAAAUGUUACAUGCUUGACUCUCAAUCCGGGGACUUAGAAGGACCUUAAUUUGAUCCAAGCUCAGUCUCUUUAAUGCUCUAACGGUGUAUAGAUCGAUGUUAAUCUAGUAGAAAUGUCGGGUGCAGGUCUUUGUCUAGAUGUGUAAACAGUAACUACUAUACUGAAGUAGAAAUAAACAGAUGUGGAAUAACUUGGCUAAAGUUUAUGAAGAAUAACAACUGUUUCAGUAAACUGCAUUAGCGACCACUCAUAGCUACCCAAUAGCUCAACACUUUAAAAAAAAAAAAUCUAGCAUAAUAACAUCUAACUACAAAUAUAUUCACCAAUAUUUAUAAACAUAAUUAUUAGAAUAUUAGGUAUAAUAUCAACUAAAAUAAGAAGAGAGAUAGUUAGGUCAUAUCUAUAUGAAGAUAAUUAUUUGGGGUAAACUUCAAUUUGGACCAUAAAAAGCUGCACUUCAGUAUCCAGUGUUUUGUUUUUGUUUCACCUAACGAUCCACCAUCAAAUAAGAUAGCAAAGUGAUACUUUUCGCAAACCAUAGGGCUCUACAGUAUAACAUUUUACUAUCCUAUUCAAAAAGUAUCACCACUCUACUUGAUGGUAGAUCAUGCUGAAACAAACACAAAAUCGUAAAGUUAAGUGCAACUUUUUAAACCACAGGGUGGCAAAGCGAAAAUGCGCUCAACCUCAGGGGGAGCAAAUUAAAGUUUACCCUUACAUUUAUAUGCAUUAUUAUUAAGCAUACCUGUAUGAAAAUAGUUAUAUGUGCAUGUAUAAUCAUUAACAUUCAAAAAUGCAUUCCAAUCCCACUUUAAAAGAAAAAAAAAACUGCCAUAUGCAGCCGUGUAUGCGGCCUGUUGUCACUUAUGUGCUCCAACCGCAUAUUGCACCGCAUAUCACAAUGCAGUGGAGUUGAUGGUUCGCCGUAUAGGCUACUUUUUGGAACAAUGGUGGCAUGGGGCUGUGCUAACAAACACAGGCCCAUGUCGGCAGAGUGAAAAUGCACUCAACCUGAUGGGGAGAAAAUUAAAGUUUACCCUUACAUAUAUAUGCAUUAUUAUUAAUCAUACUUGUAUGAAAAUAGUUACAUGUAUAUAUAUAAUCAUUAACCAAAUAACCCCAUUCAAAAAUGCAUUUCAAUCCAACUUAAAAAAAAAAAAAAAGAACAACCGCCAUACGCAGUAGCGUAUGCGGCCUUUUGUCGCUUAUGUGGUCCGACCACAACAUAUGCAGCGAGUUGAAGGUCCGAAUCGCAUAUGCGGCCAUAUAGGCUACUUUUUGGAACAGUGGUGGCAUGAGACUAUGCUGAUAAACAAGGCCCAUGUCGGUCGUGCCGUCGAAUAUCGUUGGAUGCCGCCCAGUAUCAUGCCCUGAGCCAGUCUAGUCUGGUUUCUACCAACCAUUGCUAGUUCAGGCCCCCGCCCCACCCUCCCCCCACGGCCCGACACAAAAUCCGCUAUCACAUAUACAGUGAGUGAUGAUCCGAAUCGCAUCUGCUGCGCGUAUAGACUACUUUUCGCAACAACGUGGCAUAGUACUAUGCCAAACAACAUAGCGCCAUGUCGGUCGUGCGCGUCAAUAUCGUUGGAUGCCGGGUAAUGCCCGCCGCCGCCCGCCCCCCCCCAUUCCCCCCCCCCCAAAAAAAAAAUGCCCCAAAAACUCACAAACUUGAAAAAUUAUUCUGUAGUACACUGAACUUUGGCAAAUUGCGAAAUUCGAGUGUUGAAAUAGUAAUUGGAACUAUUCUACGGUUUUUGAAGGACUGUCGAGAGGUUUCAGCAAACUACUGGAGUAAGCAGAUAGCUGAAAAUAAAAAAGUGCAUUGCAAAUGCACUAUUCAAAUGUAGUACUCCGAAUUUGGCCAAUUAUGAAGUUUGAUGAGUGGGAUUGGUAAUGGGAGCUAGCCCACAUCUUUUAAAGAGUUGUAAUGAGGUUUUUGACAAGUUAAAAGAGUAAUCAAGAAGUCGGAAGAGAGAAAGUGCAUUGGAAUUUCGAAAUGCAGAAUUUGUAUAGAGUACCGAUACCAACCAAGGGGAGUACCAGUACCCAGCACAGCAGUAGCUGCGUGGCUGAGGCUAUUUUGGUCUUUUCUCUUUCUAAACUUGUUCUUAUCAGCCUAGCUCGACUCCUGAGCUUGUUCUUAUCUUGUUGAAGCUCUGAGAAUAGGGGUGAGUCUCUCUCUUUCUCUCUCUAGGUUUUUCCAUUUUUUGAAGUGGAAACAAGUGAUUUGAGCAUGGUUUCUUCUCCUUUCUUGUUGCUAACUGGAUUGGAGGGCUUUGAAGCUGGUAUAGAGGGGUUAAGAGAAGAGUUUUGGUGAUGUUUCGUAGCCCUAGCUCAGCAAGAAGCUGAGUGGAAUCUUGGUAAAGUAAAGGAUUCAACUUUUCUCUAGAUUAAUACUAUACUAGUGAAGUUGAGUUGGUUCUUGAUUUCUUUGUUAUUAGCUGGUUUUGGGAAGGAUUAAACAGCUAUGGAAGAGAUGUUUCCCUGUUAUAACUCAGCUAGGAGCUGAGUUGAAGCUUGGUGAGGCCUGUAACCUAACUUCCCUCUCUAACUGAGAUAUUGGUGGUUGUAGUAAUAAGUUGAGCCUGUUCUUUACCUUUGCUGCCAGCAGAUUUGGGAAUACUUGCAGCAGCUGUAAAAGGAUGUGUUUGGCUGUGAUUCUUCAAGCCUGACUCAGCCGAAUUGAGUAGGAGCUGAUUUGAGGUGCUGCAAACUGUAGGACGUGAAGGUUUAAACCUAGGUCAAAUUCUAGCUUAUACUAUAUAAUUGUAUUUGUGUAUGGAUGUUGUUUUUGAUACAAGUUCGCAGCAGGUCCGCAGCAAAUUAUUUGAUAUUGUUUGACUGAGUUUUGAGAGCUUCCUAAGGUUGGAUUUGGUGUUCCAACCUAAGCCAAAGUGGGGAUUCAGGCAUAACAUUAUACUAGGUGAGAUUCUAAUCUUAACUCUGGGAAUAUAUAGAAGUGUUAUAUGUAAAGGCUGAAGUGGAACUCCUAGCUGAUUUUUGAAUCAUUGCUAGGAUACUCGGAAGCUUCGGAUUAUCUUCAUUGGUGGAAUCGACGAGGCGUCAACUAUUUGGUGGGUUUGGCCUUCCCGAAAUGGAUGAAUUCCCUCUAUUUCUUGACACUAUGAAUUGGAAUAGUGGCAUAUUUACAUAAACAUAUGGGUAUUUGAAUGAAGUGGGACAGGCAUCAAUAUGCAUAUGAUAACACAUAAAAUGGGACCUCUAUGUAGUAGAGGAAGGGUUAUGGAAUUACUUAGUCUACAUAGACUGUUGGCUUGAUUAGCAUAUAUUUAUGUUAUUAGUAUACUAGUGUGGACUAGUUAAGUACAACAUCCUUUAAUAUGGAAUAGCUGUAAAACAAAGAACAUGACAUUUGGUUCAAUUGGACUACUAAAUGAUGAUGUAUCUUUGAGUUACAUUUAUGCCACUCCAGGUGGUCAACAGGUUAAUAGAACUCUUAGCAUAUCAUGUAUAGUGAAGUCACAUGCUUAUAUAAUUAUAUGAAAAUCAUGUUAAGAGUACAGUUGAGAAUGCUUCGCAUGCUUGUAUUGACAAGUUGGUCAUUGUUUUCACCAAAUAGAGAUAGCAUGAAUUUCAUGUUUGGUAUAUGAUUACGAUCUAGUUAAGUAACUGGAACUGGCAUUGUAACAUAACAUGAAUGUUAUAGUAUGAACAUGAUCUAGUAAUAACUAGAGUUGAACAUGAUGACAUACUUGUAUAAUCAAGUAGAGAUAAUUGCAUAUUACUUGUUUACUCCAAGUAGUGGAGGAUUAUAUAGAACUAUAGAAUAUGUGCAAUGAGUCAUUGGAUAUAACCUUAGAAAACCACUUUCCUUAUGCAUAGGAAGUAGUGAAAGGACUCUAUGUGAAUAUGUGUGGAUAUAGCCAUUAUGAUGUAAAGUAUAUACUUGUUUAAGUUAUACUAGCCAUGGGUAGAAUUAUGUCAACAAGUAAUUGAUAGUGGCUUACGAUUUGGUUCUACAGCGUCGACCUUGUGUCGAGUUGAGAUUCCAUAUUUGUGACAUGAUGAGAUUGUGAUACCUACCCUAUGGAUUAUGCUUGCAUGCCAUUGUGCUCAUUCGCACAUACUUGUGGGGGUCGCGGCCCCCAAGCCAGCACUCCGGAGUUAGCCUAGCGACAGAUUGCUCGCUUACGUACGAAUUGAGCGCCGAAAUGGAUUGCUGUGGAUAGUGUUGACUUUCACAGGGCCAUUAGGCACGACGCUGCUAGGACUUUACCAUGAGCAAGUCUCUUGUGAAUUGGGUUAUUAUGAGUUACCUUAACCUUAGAUGGACAUAGUAGUAAGGAUACUUUAUGUCAUUGGUUAAGUAUAGCUGGUAGUAAACACACUAAAGGGCUGACAUCUCUGUUGAUUAGUAGUAUAGUGAUAAUAUUUGAAUGUAUACACUCUUGUUAGUGUAGAAAAUAGCUACAUGAUGUCAUUAACUAGUAAACAUGAUAAUAUUCUGCAUAUAGCAUGACAUAUAGUUGAUUAAACUGAUAAUUAGCAUGACUUAAAGAAUUCAUUCAUAUUGUAAGGUAUCGGACUUCUAAAAUCAUGAAGUUACGGUGUACAUUUGGUUGGAGAGCUGUUUGAAUGGUCCCGGUGAAGUUUGGUGAAGUUCUGGGGCAAUCGGGCGUUUCGGUGGGCAUAGGCGCGAAAAUGGAACCCGGAAGGCUAAGUUGGGCCGUGAGCUAAAUCCGGCAUUAGCGAGGAUGGAAAGAUGAUGAAAACAUGUUGGAAACAUGUUUGGAGAGUCUCGGUUCGAUUUGAAACGAAUCGGAGGUCAAACGAGCGAGAACGGACGAAAACGGGCCGAAAAUGCUAAAAAUUUGGCUAAGUCCUUGAGGCUGAGUUCUGGACCUUCGGGACCGGUCUCCCAGCCAAGGACCGUCUCUCAUCGCAAGACCGGUCCCCGAGUGCGAAAAUGGCCCAGUUUGAGCUGUUGCGAGGAAGCUUUGUGAGGGUGUUUUCUGCAAUUUUGCACUAAUGAGAGGCUAUAGAAGCUUGGGUUAUCUCUUCUCUCUCAUUCUCUCAACCCUACUACACCAAUAGCUCUCCUCUCUCUCUAGAAAGAAAGAGAAAAAAGAAAAAGAGGAGGAGGAAAAGAAGAUGAUGAAGAAGGAAGCAACAAGGUGGAGCUUCAUCUUCUCAUCUUCUCCUCUCCGUUGAGCUAGCUUAAGAGAUAAGCAUUGCAACCCCUUCAAUGGUAGAUCUCUAGGGUGUGAUUUAAAUGCUCUAGAAAUGGAUUUAGUAGCUUUCCUAGAUGCUAAUUAGAUGGAUUAUGCUUAAAUCCAAAGCUCUAAUGGUGGUUUAUUGCCUAGUUGUAAACCUAGGGCUUGAAUUGGAUUUCUUGGUAGAUCAUGGGUUUUGAUCUCUAGAAAUGGUAUUUUUGGAAUCCUAGGAUGCUAAUGAGAUAACUAGUACCUAAAUCUUGAACUGAUUUGGAGUAUUUAGCAUCAAUGGUAUAUAGGGCUUCAAAAAUCGGGUUUUUUGUAAAUAGUUGGGUUUGAUCUCUAUUAACCCUCUAUAAACCUAAUUGAUAGGUGUCCGAACGCGUGGGAAGCGACGGUUCGUCGAUUCGUCGAGCGGGUGCGACGUUCCGGCUGAAACAAGUGUCCGUGGGUUCGUAUUGACCCGAGGAGCCGAGGCGGCUUCCAUAAAUAGUGAGAUCGGAUUCCGAGCAUCGUAACAAAGAACCGAAGACCUUUAAUAACCGGAUCGCGGAUUGGUGGCCGUUCGGGUGGUCGCGCAAGAGUUUGGCCCGAACCGGAUCACGUGCGCCGCAGGAGGCCGAUUGCGAGUGACGACGAGCAAUCGGAACGCGAUAAAAGGUGGGUGGUGUCCAUCCCGAAGCAACCGGACUCCCUUUUAUGUCUAAGUUUUAUAUUGAUCAAAUUGCAUAUUGACAUCUCGCAUUAUAGGGUGAUAAAUGAUGGUUUGGUCCUAUACCUUGCAUGUUCUUUGGUAGAAUAAUGUAUUUGGCUUAGUACUUAUAUCUAGCAUGCUUGAGGCUUAUAUAUGUGAUGUGGAACCCUAUAAUGAGAUGAUAAGUGUGGAUGGAAAUUUAGUAAUGUAUUGGCUAUUGCAUUGGAAACUUGUAAAGAACGAGUGGCAUCUAGUUGAUAGUAAACAAAAGAACAAGUGACAUAUGUGAGUCGUAGUGUAUAUGAAACCUAUGGACUAUAUGAUGAUUGUAACCCUAGAGGAUAGGGUAUUCUCGAGAUGAGGAUUGGAUCAUGCUCACGGUAUGUUUUUAAAUCUUGUGAUGGAAGCCCCACACAAGUAGUGCGCUCCGGAGUUGGUCACGUGGGAUUGCCUAUUUUGGGUCCCAAGGGAUUGCCUAUUUUGGCCCCGCCAGACGGUCUCGGGUUCGUAGUAUGAGUUAAUUCUCCCUACGCGUCGAGAUGGCUAGUGAGCUGUAGGCGAGCCUUCGGGUAAGCCAUGAGAUUAAUGAACAAGUAAAUGAGGUUAAUGAACGAGUGAAUAGCUUCACCUUUGGACAUGAUAACAGGUUAGUUGCUUACCUAUUUCAUUGUACAUGCAUUCAUAUAUUUAUGAUUGGGCAUAGUAGAGUAGCUUUACUCCUGUCAUUUACCGCUUUCCUUAUCUAUCUAUCUAUCGAUUAUCUACUUGUGCCCGACUUGGACCUAGUGGGGAGAUCGGCGGAGUCGGCGGCCGAACCCACUGGGAACUAAGGAAGUUAGUUCUCACCCCCAUUUUACUACAGGGCCGAGCGCGAGUUCACACGGCGAGGAUCGCGGUAAGGGCCUAGCGCCCUAGUUGCAUUAGUUUACUUUCCUAUUUCUGCAUUAGAGUCACCUUUAUAUGCUUUGAGAGUAGAUGAUGUAUAGGAUGUGAGAUAUUCUGGAAUGAAUGUAAGCUAAUGUUUAUAUUUUGGAAGAUGUAAGCUUUAUAUUAUGUUUAGAAGCUUAAUGUAUAAUCAAAUUGUAUUAUAAAGGCUGAAUGAAUGUAAUAGAUAAAUGUUUCUCUCUUUAUCAUUACUUGUAUGUUCUAUACUUGUAUCUUGCUCUUGGUUGUUUUGCAUUGAUUGUACUCUCGUUGUAGUUAUCGAUCGUGUAUGUAUUCAAGCUAUUUUCCUGGGAACUUGUUGUACACAAUCUCGUUGUUAGCCUUGGGCGGACAGGGGAGGUGCUGUCCGUCCGGCGUCUGUUCGACGCGCCCGGGCCGAGCCAAAUUGGUAGCGGUCGCGGGGCGUGACAUAUAUGAACUAGUAUAUAAGACAUGUUAAAGACAUAUCUUGUUGAGGCAUAGUAUAAUUGAAGUAAUUCUUUUAUUAUUGCAUUUACUCUGCUUACUUAUUGCUAUAUACUCAUGCCUUAGUUGACCUAGUGGUGUACUUCGCCACUCUUGCUUACCCACUGGGAACUAUUGUUUAAUAGUUCUCAUGCCCUUUUUUUUGUUGUUUUUACAGAGCCUUCCACAGCUGGAAAGGCUAGUGUUCCUGGCGAGGGGUCAGCGGCUAAUUAGAGCCUUCUCGAAGUUAAAUAGAUGAACCUCUACUAGUUUUUUGGUUUAGCUCAGUGUUGUAUUUUGGAUUUAUGUAGAAUGUAUUUUACUUUUAAGUUGUAAAAAGUUGUAAUAAGGUUUUGUGUUGUAUGAGUUUACUAUACUUGUAAGUUAUGCUCUGAUUACCUAGUUAGAACCGAAUGCUUUUACUAUGUGAAUUGUAAACGCCUGGUGUAUACUUGAGGUUGUGAUGUACACGGCGGGUCUGUGCACGUGACUGGUGAGCUUCCGCUGAAGUCCAGGGCAUGACAUAUUCUCUGUUCAUCGCCCUCGAAACCUUGCCCCAUUCUCGCUCUCCAUGUUCUAACCCUUCUAGUUUUCUCCUCAUCCUCCUCAUGUUGUCUUUCUUUUCCUCCCCCUCCUCCCUCUCUCCAAAUCCAUCAUGCUUCUCCCGAUCCCCCAUCCUUCCGCUCUCUUCCUCCUCCUCCCACUUUCUCUCCAAUCCCAUCACAGUAACAACACCAUAGUGGGCGAGUUCACGGUGGAGUGGGAUGGGCCCCAUGCUACAUCCUCCUGCAGCGGCAAGCCACGGCGACAGAGUAGGUAACGGUGUCGGCGGUGCUUGCCCCGCUGCGCCUCCCAAAGGAGGAUCUGCCAUGGCCCCCCGCAGGAUGCCCUCAAGAAGCCACAUCUUCGCCUCGUCCUCCAUCAGAUGCGAAGGGUUUAGAAGUGAAAGAAAAAUGUGCUGUUUUGCUUAAUUUAGUUCUUUUUUAAGAUUUUAGGGUUUUUUAUUUGAUAAAUUUUAGUGAAAUUAGAUGAAAUUUCAUGAAAUUUUUGAAUUUAGCAAUAUAGGUAGUGAUCAUUUUGUAUAAUUUGUUUCAUAUUUAUUACCAAAAUUAAAACGUGAAGUAAAAUCCGAGUCAGAUGAAUAUCUCACAUAUCUUAUUCUUUUAACAAUCUAGAUUUAGUUUUCAUUUCAUAAAGAUUUUGUAAAAUUAUGUAUUUUUAUGUCGACUUUUUCAAGUAGUUGUAACUUACAAUUCAAUCAUCAAUGGAUUUUGUUCUUCUCAUUAAUCUGAUUUAAUCACGUUAUUAAUUACAUUUUUUAGCUUUAUUUAUGGCCAUUUUUUUUCAAUUUGAUAUAAUUUACAAAUGAUUUAUGCUUUUCUCCCUACAUUGAUCCACAUUGUUUUGUUUAAUGCAACUUUUCUCAAUUUAUUUUUAUAUAACAAAUAAUAACAGAGUAAUUUUUUUGAAAGACAAUCCAAACAUUCAAAACAGAGUAUUUUUUUAAUAGAAUAUAGAGUUUUUCAACAUAUCAAAUACAUUGUAAAAUGAAACUGUGAUUUAAUUUUCGAUAAUUGCCAAACAGGUCCUAAAUGCUUCUAAAUGCAGUGGAUUUAAUUUCCCUAUUCUUCAUCUCUUUUUUAAUUCUCUUAUUAUCCAUUACUACAAACUGUUAUUCAUAUCUUACGAUCACUAUGUUUCUUGCAUAGAGCUAGCAACUAAAAGUUGCUAAUAACCUCUAUUCUCGUUGGCUGUGGAAAUAUUCAUGGUCCAUUUUAGGUAACUAAGCCCCUUCCCUCGUAGGGAAUGAUAGGAUUCUUCUUCUUAGGGGUGUCGGAUUGGCAUAAUCAUAAUUCGGCAAUGAUUCAGCCGUCAAACAUGAUGAUGCUAAGAAGAUCCGCCACAUAGCAUGUGGGGCCACAUUUUGGAUCUUUCUACAAACGGUGACUUCGCACCUUUUGAAGGGGUAGAAGAAUUAAGCCUUCCGGUAGCUGGUGGAUUUCCUUGGUGUCGUUGUGGUUGAUACCAUAACCAAUUUUUCUACUCUCACUACAAUUGAAUUACGGCCAAAGUGAAAUUACAUCAAUCCAAGCACCCCCUUAGCCACCUUAGUGCUUCCUAUACUGCCUAAAUCCUCUUGAACUCUUAGCCCCUGUUUGGUAUGGGGUUAAGGGGUGGAAUAACCCCUUAACCCCAUACUUACUCCCAAACACCCACCUUUUGGGGUGGGGUUAACAAACCCCACCCCAAAAGGGGUUAAGCAGGAAUAAGGCCGACAGGGUGGGGUUUGUUAACCCCACCCCCCCUCUCUCUCUCUCUUCACGGGUUUGGCUGAGCCCUCGCAUCACUCCCAAGGCACUACUGUAGCUUCUCCCCCAACCUCCUAACUCCUUCUUCCCCAAUUUCCUCUCACAGCCGCUCCUUCCAUCAACCUCGUCGCUGUGGGUUGGACGGCGUUGUGUACGCCCGAACCGACAACUCCCUGCUUCACCUCCUCACCGUCGGUUGCAGACCGUUCACUGCCGGUUGUAAGGGUUUCGGCAAGCCCGAAAAUCCGAAGCCCCUUUCACGUCGCCAUUGCUCGUAAAGCCUUCAGUAACGACGGUACCGCUUCCUCCUUUCUCCUCCCUGCUUGACUUCCGGGUUGCAUCACACCCCUGGAUGUAGAUCUGGGUAGAUCUGAGCUGCCUUCACCUCUAAUUUGGGGGUUUUGUCUGUUCCUCUCUCCUCUUGUUCAUCUUCUUCCUCCGAACGCCGAAUCCCUCCCUCUUCUUCCACCGAACGCCGAAACUGCCCCUCCUCGAUUGCCGCGGGUUGGACGGGCUUGCGUUCGGCCAAAACAAGUCCUCCCUGCUUGACUUCGUCGCCGUCGGUCGCAAGGGCGUUCGGCCGAAGGAAGUCCUGGGUCGCCGAAAAUCCGAAGACCUCCUAAUCGUCGCCGUUGCUCGUAAACCCUUCAUUGUUGGUCGCCGGUUGUAAGGGCUUCGUGCUUUGUGUUGCCGCAUUAUUUGCUCUCUCCUUGCUUUGGCCGAACCCUGUCUUUGGGCCUUCAUUGGCCGAGGUUGGCCGAGGUUCGCGGAGCUUGCUCUCUGGUUCUUCAUUGUUGCUCCCCUGCUGUGCGCUUGGUCUGUGUGCUACUAUCAGGUCUGAAAAAAUUUUUAUAUUUUACCUAGCUGCAAUAUGAAUGCCGAGAUUCAGGAUUAUAUAUUUGCAUGAUGGUUGCGCAUAUGCCGAUGAUGAAUAUUGGUAGAUCUAAUCCAACUUAUGAAUGUUCGGUUUAUGUUGAACAUUGGUAUGCUAUUAUUAUUGAAUUAUUUGGUGUUAUAAAAGAUUUGCGGUUGACAAGGUUUAGUUUAUGUAUAAAAUUGCCAUGUCAUUGUUGUGCACAGACUGUUGAUUAAGAUAGCUUGGUAAUAUGAUAGACACAAAUAAAGGUUUACAAGUCGUGGUUCGGCGAUGAUGAAGGUUUGCAAUUAACAUAAGAUGGAUGGCAUCGAUUGUAAAAUCUUUGCAACCCCAUGUUAGUUGGAAACCACUUGAGCCAACAGUUGGAACGAACCACCUAUCUGUGAUUACCUUGCUCAUUUAUCAAAUCUAUUGCAUGUAACUGCUAAUUUAUUGUCUAGGCUAUGCCAUUGUGUGUAAAUGUGUAGUCUCUAUUGCAUUACUUAUAUUGUAGGCAAUGCUAAUACAGUAUCUUAUUUCGCAUGUACUUUAUCUCGCCAUUGAAAUUGCAUGUAAAUGGUACAGUAUAUUGAACUCAUAUUCAUGCAUCCAUCAUGCACUUGUGCAUUAUUAACUACAGAUGCGUCCCUUCAAAAAAGUUUCAAAGUCCAAACAAAAGCAAAGUGGGUUGGCAGAUAACCCACCUAAUGAGGCUAGCGGUGGUAUUCGUAUUGAUACAAGAACAAGGAGUCAAAAUUGGAGCAACAUGUUGGAUGCACAAUUGUUGGGGCUGAUGAGAGAUGAACAUACAUUUGGUAAUUGCGUAAAUGGAUCAUUCAUUCCGAUUGCUUGGAAGCGAAUGGUAAAUGAUUUCAACAGUCGAAACAAUUUGAACCUAACAAAGACACAAUUAAAGAAUCGAUUUAAAGUGUUAAAAAAAACUUUCAAUUUGUACCAUUCUCUUGCCAAUAAGAGCGGGUGGGGAUGGAACUCUGACUUGCACAUUCCCACACCUGGUGACGCAAGAAUCUGGGAUUCUGUAAUAGCGGUAAUUAUAAUUUCUUUUAUAAUAGCGUCACUCUGUUAUUAAGACAUGUACAUUAUAUGAUAGUAUUAAAUUGAACGUUAUUAUUAUUUCUUCAGGAGAACCCGGCGUACGCCAGGUGUAGGGAUAAGCCCUUUCCCGCCUACGAUGAUAUGGAAUUUCUUACCCAAAAUACAACUGCGACAGGAAGAUAUGCAUUUACAAGUGCUGUGGAGCUUCCCCCUAUAAUUGAAAGCUCCUCUGGGUCAUCCCCUGGUGAGGAUGAUACUAUUGCUGGCAUUGGAAUGUCAGCUUGUAAUCUCUCAUCGGACCCAUUCGAAGCAGGGGGAUCUGGGUGCGCCAGAAAUGCUAACUUUGAUGAAGCAAAUACGUCACGCUCCCCAAGCCCUCCCGUGAUGCCUACAACUGGUGCAAGUGGUUCUGGUCAUAGCUCUGGUAGUAAAAGAGCUCGUUCUCCAGAGUCUAACAAAAAGCAAGCACAAACGGCAACUACAUCUGGGGGACGAAAAAAGAAAGUAGAUGCCCGGACUUCUGCUUACCUUGACAUCGCGGAGCAGGGUAAGGAAAAGCUUGGUUGGGUGCGGCAACUAUGUCAGCUAGAGCUGAGCAAGAGCACUGAUAUGCCAUCGCAGAACCAAUGCAUGCAACGAGUGUAUGGGAUGACGGGGUUAAGUGAUGAUGAUAUCUUAGUUCUCUGUGAUGCGUUUAAGGAAGACAAGAAUCGCAAUGCUUUCAUGUCAUUGAAUGACAAGCAUGCAAGAAAGUGGGUUGAGCGAGAAAUUGCGCAGCAAAAUCUAUACUAUAGGCCGUCAUUUUCCGGGAGUUAGACAAAUGGCAUAUUGGUAGUUCUUCUGUAUCGUACCUCGACCCAUGCUUAUUGCGUGUGGAUGUCCAUAUUUUCUAGCUUGUCGUGGUAUUGGUAGUUGGAAGCUUAUUGCGUGUGGAUGCUUCUUUAUCUUAGCUUUGCAUACUUUCUACUUUGUGGUGGUGACUCUUGAAUGUAUGACGCUUUGAUUUAUAUUUCCUCUACUCUUAUUAGCUUUGCAUAUUUUUUUGCUGUUGGAAGAUUAUUAUAUGUUUGCGCUAUAUAUAUUACCUCUUGCUAUAGUUAUAUGUUCGUGUGUAUUUAUUUAUUUUUGGAUGUGCAUAUUAAGUGCUGAUUUAUUCGGUAUUUACAACAGUUGCAAUUAGAAAGACAUUAAUGGCGAACCCACUAUACAAAAGCAUUUUUUCUUCAGAGACCAUAGCCACCAUUAUGACAAUAAUAGAUGAUGAUGAUGAAUCUAUCGAGGCUAUGAUGCUACUUAAGUUAGAAUCUGCAGUUGCAAAUAGAGUACCCAGACAAAGGUGUCGGACUCGACCGUUUACCGGACAUCAAAUGUUGUGUGAUAUCUUAUCUGGUCAUCCUGAACGUUGCUGUCAUCACUUUCGUGUGAGUGCAACUACAUUUAUUGCACUCCGCGAUGCUUUAGUCGAGAAGGGCUUAAUAAGUAGCACAAGAAAUAUGACUGCUGAUGAGCAGUUAGGCAUCUUUCUAUAUGGCGUAGGGCAUGGCGUGGCAAACCGAAUAUUGGCGGAAACAUUCCAACAUUCCGGAGAAACCAUUAGUAGGCAUUUUAACAAUGUACUACGCGGCAUUGUGAGGCUAAAAGAUGACUAUAUAAUGUUGCCGUCAAGUAAUGCUGCCGUGCAUCCAAGAAUUCGGGAUAAUCAAAAUUUUCAUCCUUUCAAGGUAACCAUACACACUUUUACGUAUAAUACAUUGGUGUAUAAAUAAAAUUUUUUACUAAUAUUUUUAUCUUUUCUUUUGUAAAACUGUAGAAUGCUAUUGGUGCGAUCGACGGGACACAUAUUCCAGUAGUGGUCAAAAGGAGUCAACAAGCACCAUUUCGAUGUCGAAAAGGGUUCACCUCACAAAAUAUGAUGGCUGCGGUGUCAUUUGAUCUUAAUUUUUUAUUUGUAUGCACAGGAUGGGAAGGCUCUGCUGCCGAUAUGAGAGUACUUCGAUGGGCAUGCGAAAGAGGUGGUUUCGUUGUUCCCGAAGGUAGUCUUGCUAAUAAAUUAUUUGUUAAAUUUAAAUAUAUAUGAACACUAUUGUAGAUAAGUUUUUUAUACUAAUAACAUAUGGUUAUUAUAUUAUUUGCAGGCAAGUAUUACUUAGUAGACUCGGAAUAUGCAAAUACUGAAGAAUUUCUUGCACCCUAUAGAGGAGAGCGUUACCAUAUUAGUCAGUUUGACGCAAGCACACGAGCCCGCGUUCAUCGAAAUCCACGAGAUUUGUAUAACCACCGGCAUGCUCAAUUAAGGAAUGUGGUUGAGAGAACAUUUGGCAUUUUGAAGAAGCGUUUCAAAAUUCUAAAUGUAGCAACACCAUUUUCGUAUAAAGUUCAAUGCUUGAUUGCUAUGGCAUGUUGUAUAAUACAUAACUUUAUUCGCCGUCACCAAGCAAAUGAUAACAUUUUUCCUGAUGAGGGUCCAGAUGAACAGAACGCUGAAAAUGAAGGUGGAGUGGACGAUUUAGUGGGAGUAAUUGAGGACUCCCAAAAUGGUGAGGAUCUACGUGCUAAUAUUACAAAUCAAUUGUGGAACACUAGAAUAUAAUUUUAUAUAAAUUAGAUAAUUGUAUUGAUAUUUGGUAGAAAUGAGUGUAGUGGUUAUAUUGUUAUUUGACAAUUGGGGCUGAUUAUGAUGUAUGAGAUAGAUAUACUUUGUAACACUUGUUUUUUUAUGUCUGUUAUGGAACAUGUAUUAAUGUUAUAUAUUGUGAUGAUAUUUUCUGCGUUGAAUAUUGGUAGGUAGAUAUGUUGGUAGAUAUUCGUAUUUUUGUACUCUGUUAUAUAUUUGUACUAUUUCGGUUCUAUUUUGGUUGUAUAUGUUUUUGUUUUUGAUUCAAUGUGUUGUUAUCUGUGUAAAUGUUCGUUGAUGUGCAGAUUGACUUGAUGUACAUAAAUAUUUCAGAAUUAUUAAUGAUAUUCGAAUAGCAAUGCAAAGUUUGAAAGAUCGGAACAAAUCGGAUUUGAAAACGCCUAGCGAUACUCAACUCCACUAGGGGCUAAAUUUGAAAGGUUGGAAAAUAGUAUUUUUGGAGGGUAUAAUGAUAUUAUAACUAAAAGAACAGUGGAAAAUAAUUUUAGGUAUACAAUUACGCAAAAAUUUUUAUAAUUUUAAUCCUCAUAAUAAUUUGAAAGCAUAGAAUAUUUAAAAUAAUAAAUAAAAUAUUUAUUUUAAAUAAUUACAGUGAGGCUAUUUUAGUAAUUUUACUUGAUUUAUUAAUCAUUAUNUCGAAUAGCAAUGCAAAGUUUGAAAGAUCGGAACAAAUCGGAUUUGAAAACGCCUAACGAUACUCAACUCCACUAGGGGCUAAAUUUGAAAGGUUGGAAAAUAGUAUUUUUGGAGGGUAUAAUGAUAUUAUAACUAAAAUAUUAAUUGUAAUUCAGAAAAUACUAUUGUGCGUGAAAUUUAUAAAUAUGACAAUUUUAAUAUUGUUGUUUGAAAAUUUAAGAAAUUUUUCAAAAUUACAAAAGAACAGUGGAAAAUAAUUUUAAGUAUACAAUUACGCAAAAAUUUUUAUAAUUUUAAUCCUCAUAAUAAUUUGAAAGCAUAGAAUAUUUAAAAUAAUAAAUAAAAUAUUUAUUUUAAAUAAUUACAGUGAGGCUAUUUUAGUAAUUUUACUUGAUUUAUUAAUCAUUAUUUUUUUUAUCCCACCUACUCCAACCAAUCAUUAUCCUUCUUUAUCACUCAUUAUCUUCUUAUCCCACCUACUCCAACCAAUCAUUAUCCUUCUUUAUCAAUCAUUAUCUUUUUAUCCCACCUACACCAACCAAACACUAUUUCUCAUUAUUCUAGCUUAACUCUAACCCCGAACCAAACACAAAAAAACUUUAACCCCACUUUAACUCUGAACUUAACCCUAUCCCUGGAAUAGCUACUUUUUUCUUAACCCCGAACCAAACGGAGGCUUAGUUCCUCUGCCUGAGAUUUCAGGUUAGCCACUAUAAUUUACUUGUCCAUACACCUCCUCCUAAAUUACAAUUGGUCCACAAGUUCAGAUGGUUUCUUUGAACCAAGCAAUGUAGUUAGAGAAAGAACUCUAUCAACUAAGCAUAUGUGAAAUGCUAAGAUUGUCGACUGUCAGACCAUCAGGUGUAUUAAGACCAACUGCUUGUACCUCUGAUCUGCACAGCUGAUCUUUGUCAGACAGUUACAUCUCAAAAUGCCUCCCAGUUGCCAAAGUGUAAUCUUAAAUUUUCAGAACAUAAUCAUAAAAAUAGGAUAGCUAACCAAAUUAAAAUCAUCAUUAAGAAAGUGGCAAAAACAGGAAGCCUAAUUCAAUUUGAUAGAUGUCCCACCAGAUUUAUCAUUACCUUUUCUUUCAGCAAAAGAAGAUUAGAGUUUCCAGGAGGUGUCCUUAUCAUGUCUUAACAUCACUAUAAAUUGUAUCGCAGCACUAGAAAAUGAGAUGCUUAAAAGAAGAAUACAAUUUGUUCUGUUCUUACCUCUAUCAGGUUAAGAGAUACAUUCCGAAUAGCUAAUAUUCUGAAGUGUGUGCCAUAACAUUGGCAAUUGAUGCACGUAUCUACUCCAAGAAAUAUAGCUCUCUGCUACCUGUUGUUCUUCGAAUAGCUUAUAUUCUGUAGUGUAUGCCAUAACAUUGGCAAUUCAUGCUUGUAUCUUCUGCAAGAAAUAUAGCUCUCCUCUACCUGUUUGUUCUUCCCCAACAUGGAUACCUUUUUGGCUGAGUUAUCACAAAAAAUAUAAGUUCGCAAAUUUCUUCAAAUUGGAACUAUGGUGACCAAAUUUACCGCCUUUGAUGCUUUAGAGGCUUCAAAAAAAAUCUAUAAAUCUGUUGAAGUUUCCCUCCUACUGUGAUAUAAAAUAUUUGUAGUUUACUAAACUUUAGCCAAACAGGCAAUGAAUUUGGGAGCGUAAAAGAUAAUCUAGAGUGGUUCAUGUUGGAAUUGAAAUGAAAACAAAAAUUUUGAAAAUUUCGGUAAUGUACUCUGAAAUGUUUGUUGCUUAUAACUCUGCUGAAUAUUAAUAACGGCGAAAAAUUAUGAAACUUUGAAAAGUCAUCAGUUUUAAUGUAUUGGGACUAGAUUUAAAGUUUCGUGUCAUUCGGACACCUGAACAUUAAAAACAAAGUGUAUCAAUAAUCCAUCAAAAAUUUUGCUCGGUAGGGCUUUCGAAGGCCCAAAGUGGUCCAAAGUUGAAAAGUUAUAAAUUACCACUAAUUAAUUUUAGUUCAGCCUGCCUGUCAAAUUUGAGCUAAACCGACGUUCGGAUGGGCUCCAUAAAGCUUAUCAGAUCAGAACCGGGCAAAAAUUAUAAUUUUUCAUAGGUACAAGGGGUUUCUUGAAAAUGGGCUGAUCCGUCCUUCUUCCCCGUGGAUAUCAUCUCCUCUCUUUCUUCUCCUCCCAAAACUCCUAAUCCUCCUCUCUCAUUCCACACAAAAUAGGCGCAAAAGAAAAGUCCUAAAAAAUUGGGAAAAAAUUUGAUUGGAGCCCAAUCCAACUUUUUUGGAUCAUGCAACAAAUUGGAAGAAAAGGGAAUGGGAAAAUCCUACAUUAGGGAUAGUUGACCGAUCAAAUGCUGAAAUCUAACCAUUUGACGGCGAUCUUCCAGUUAUGGUGGGUUAUGGCUCUCCGAUAGUGGUGAUAUCUCUGUCUAAAUAACUCCUUUCUUGUAUGCUACAUUUUGAUUGGCACAAUCUAUGUUGCACAGAUACGGAUACGGGGAUACGGAUACGGUGAUAUAGCUAUUCCUAAAACUUUUAGGAUACGAUACGCGGGAUAUACUUGAAUGAAAUAUUAUUUUAAAUAUAUUUAAAUAUAUGUUGAUUAUAUGUAAUGAUAUAUUGAGAACAAUCAGAAUAUCUGAACUAUAUUAAGGAAUAUGUUCUAAUAUGCAUUAACUUGUCUAAUUGUUCUACAUAUGUUCAUAAAAAAAGAUAAUCAAUCAUAUAAAAUAAUAAUUAAGAAAGUAUCAAACCAACUAUCAUCCAACUUGAUUAAAUGAUAACAAUAAAUAUGUAGUCGCACAAACUAGAUAAUUAGCCAUUCAAUAUAUAUGUCUGUUUUGUUAGUUCUAUUAUUAAAAUAGUAACAAAAAAAUAUGCUAACAAUUUAAUAGAGAAGGAAAAAAAAAUCACAUUUUCUAUAGCCUUUGUUGCUUAAUGCUAGGUUGACAAAUUAGAUGAAAAAAAGUAAAUACUGUAUGAAGAUAGAACAAGAGGGAGCGCCUUCUACCAUUCAAGAGCAAAAAGAUAGAUGAAAUGACAAAUUGAAUAGAGAUUGACGUUUUUCUCACUCUUUUCCUUCUUUUGAAUAGGUUUGGAUGUGAGCUUUUAAAAAAAUUUUAAAUUUCGAUCAUUUUAGACCAAAAAAGAACCUGGUCGUGUCCCCCCCGUAUCUCCCCGUAUCCGUCACGUAUUCGAGCCGUAUCCGAUAUUUUUUUAUUUUUUAAAAAUGCAGGAUACUUCAUUCCCGUAUCGGACACGUAUCGGGCGCGUAUCGGUAUCCGAUACGUAUCCGAUACGAGUACGACGUGAAAUUUGAAGUAUCCGUGCUUCAUAAGGCACAAUUGUCGUAUAAUAAUGGUAGUGUUUCUUGAAAAUACUUCAUGAUGCAUGAUUAAUAUUGUUGAUAGAUACUAUACCUUCGAAAAUCUUUGAAUUGCCGUGCCUAAUCACCUAGUUUCUUGAGGUGCAUCAUUAGUAGUCAUUGUUUGAGAAUCUUGUAAUAGCAUGCUUUAUAUUUUCCAUUGUUAUCCUUUUACCUUGAAGUAGGCAUGCUAAGAUGAUAGAAUAUAUAAUCCAUUGCUUUUGGGUAUUAUUACUAUGCUAUUGCAUUCUUUUGAGUUGAUAAAUAUUGAGAUCAAGAUAACGGAAUAUUCAAUUGUUGAGAUAAUACUAUCGUUAAAUAGGACAUUCUUGAGCAUGAGUAAUUUUGAUGAUUGCCAAGCAUGCCUUGUAAAUCUCAGUCUUCAUCCGCCUUCUACUAAGCAUGUUAAAACUAACGAAUAUACUUUGUAUGGUCCUACGGAUGUCGUAACGUAAUAAUCAUUUUACAUGUUGAGAACAUAGUUGUUGGUGAAAUAAUUCUUGGGAUGACCUUAUGACAGGAGAUGACGAUUGAGCAAGAGAACUCUUGUGAUUAAUUGUGUGUGGUCCUUUUGAUCAUAAGCAUAUGACUAAAGCUUGCAAGGGCCAAAUUGAGCUCAACGAGCAAUUCGCUAGUGGGGUUCGCUACCCCACGGGACUAGGUCUUCGGAGUUCGUUGUUGAAUGUCGAAAUGGGCGAUGGAUGCGAUACGCGACCUUGAGUGAUGGAUGCACAUCACAACCACAUAGGAUGAUGGACACAAUGGUCGUGACCCAUAAGGCGCGACGCAAGUUGGGACUAGACCUUGCGUCAGUCCCCAAGAAAUUGGGUAAAAUAUUACUGGUAUUUAAAAUGAACAAUUGAUGUAUAUACUAAUUGAGUUAGAUUUGAUGCCUAGGAUAUUAUUUGACACUCAUGGUAACUCAGUACAUACGCUGAUUUAGUUGAACAUAGUGUUGAUUAUAAUCGAUACUCUCAUGAAACUUGAUGCAUAUGUCAUUUACAUUAGUCAUAUUGAUAAUACACUCUCCAUUCUUUUAGAGGCACAGUAGUUGCAUUGUAGCUUGACUGUAUAUUAUUCUCAUUCGCUAGUUAUUGUUUAUUAUUAUUAUCCUCCUUACUAUUAUGUCUCGUUUAGACCUAGUGAGUGCAGAUCGUCCCUUUCGGCAGCUGAACACAUUGGGAACUAUUUCAUAUAGUUCUCACUCCUAUUUGUUGUUUUUUUUUACAGAUCCAACCAUCGGGGAGGUGCGUGACCGUGGAAAGAAAUUCCCGAACUAGCUAAGCUAACCUUUAUAUUAUUUGGUGAAAUGGACCUAAAACUAAGAGGCAGUAAUUAUAAUCCCCUUUUCAUGUUGUAGGGAUAACCUAAAUUGCAGUAAUUUUGGAAUGGUUGAAGUUAGAUGUCUACUUCCUUAGUAUUUCUUUAGUUGUAAUUGCUUUUCUACAUGUGUAUGGUUGAAAACUGAUUGUAGAAGUGUUUUCGCUUCGUGCGGACAAAAAAGAUCUGUCCAUGCAGUGAGUCUAUACGAAUCCGGUUGGGCUUCCGCACCGGGACGUGACAAUAUUGGUCCAAAUCGUUACUCGAGAAGCAUCUAACCAAUGCUUCUCUGGUGGUGAUUCACACCACUAGGGCUGGCAAACGAGCGAGCCGGCUCGUGUUCGACUCGNCGUGUUCGGCUCGAUAUUCGGCUCGCUCGAGCUCGACUCGAAAUUAAAUGAGCCGAGCUUGAACAAAAUAAAAGGCUCGAAAUUCAUUUCAAGCCGAGCUUGAGUAUUACUCGGCUCGUUCGAAUUAUUCUUAAAUAGCACAUACAUUUCUCCAUCUAGUAACUUACCAUGAGUAGGGCUGGCAAAUGAGCGAGCCGGCUCGCGUUCGACUUGAUAUUUGGCUCGCUCGAGCUCGACUCGAAAUUAAAUGAGCCGAGCUUGAACAUGAAAAAAGGCACGAAAUUCAUUUCAACCCGAGCUUGAGUAUUACUCAGCUCGUUCGAAUUAAGCUCGAAAAGCUCGAAUAUAUAUAUAUAUAUAUAUAGGCUGGGGUUACUAUACUCUUAUGAGUAUAGACCCCCUUGUACUCAUAAAUUUUUAACCGUUGAUUGAUGGAAUGUGUGGUUAGGAUGAUGGUGGUCCCCAUUUAGAAUGAUAGUGGUCCCCUAGGGUUGAGUGGGUAGUUGGUUAAAUAGUAUGAUCUAAUGGAUAAAAAUAAUUAAUGGAAUAAAUCUAAGGGUCGAAAACUUAUGAAUAUAAAGGAGCCAAUACUCAUAAAAGUAUAGCAGCUGGACUCUCUCUCUCUCUCUCUCUCUCUCUCUCUCUCUAUAUAUAUAUAUAUAGUAGGGCUAGAAUACUUUUACAAGUAUCACCCAAGUGAUACUUGUGUGUUUUUAGCCCUUGGAUGGAGAGAUGUGAGGUUGAGAUGAUGGUGGUAGGUGGUGGUAGGUGGAAAAGUGUUUGAUCCAAGGGCUAUUUGUAAUCAAAAAGUAGAUCCAAUGGCUAAAAACGUGAUAGCAACAUGGGGAUGAUAUUUAUAAAUAUAAUGUAUUUUAAUUAUAUAUAGGCUUUAAUUUAAUUUGGGCCAUUAUUGUUGGCCCAUAAAAUAAACCCAACAAGUACAACCGUGCAAUUGAGCCCAACUCUAAAUUUACAUAACACACUCUCUCUUUCAGACUUUCACUGUUGCACAUAACCCUAAAACAUGAUAACAUUUAAAUUUUCAAAUCCCUACUUUUUUUCCUCUCUCUCUCUCUCUCUCAGACCCUCAUCUAGUCAGGAAGUCACCCUAGCUCAUAUUUCUUAUAAUUAUUUUGUAUUUUGAACUAUUGGACAUGUUGCAUCAAAUUGUAGGUAAUGUUCUAUAAAAAUUAAACUAUUGAUUAUAUAAUGUCAAGAAUUUCAAUUGGCUCGUUUAGAGCUCGAGCUCGGCUCGACUCGAAAUUAGGCUCGCUCGAGCUCGGCUCGAAUUAAUUUCAAGCCGAGCUUGAGCCUAGAUUUAGGCUCGAAAUUAAUUUCAAGCCGAAUUUGAGCUGACAUAAGCUCGCUCGAGCUCGGCUCGUUUCCACCCCUACACACCACCAUUCUAUAGCAUAGGAAGGAAGCUCUAAAGCAUUCUGGUAUUUUAGGCCCACUAUAGUAUCAAAGUAGGUGCAUACAUUAGGCCACUGCAUUUGCAAACGCAACCUUAGCUCAUGAUCUACCCUAUCCCUAUCCCAAAAAAAGAAAACGAAAGAUACUUCAAAUUAUGGUUUGAAGAGCCGCCCGAUGCCGUACGGCACGGGGCGGCACGUAUGGCACGAUACGGAAGGGGGGGGGCUCUCGCACCCCCCAACCCUCGUGCCGCGGUACCCACGGGGUCCAGCAUCCCCACGCCGUGCCGCGGUAUCCCGUGGGUAUCGCGCAAGACAGCACAAUACCCGCGAGGGUACUGCGGCACGCGUGCCGUGCCGUGGGGAUUUUUUUUUUUUUUUUGCUUGUUGCUUUUCUUUUUGGGUUCUGUUUGGCACUUGAAGCAUCCAAGUACCGCACCCCUCCUCUUUCUUCUUGAACUUUUGCACUUAUCUUUUUUCUGGUUGGAUGCACUUUUUUUUUCAUUUUUUUUUUCUCUUUGGGUACCCGAGGCAUCCCGAGAACCCCCCUUCUUUUUUCUUUUCUCCCCUGCCUUCCUCCCAUGCCUGGCUACCUUCUCCUCUGCUCUUUUCUUCUCUUCUUAGUUCUUACAUAUCUUCCUAAAAUUAUUUUUCUCCUUUCUUACUGUCGCUUAGAAAGGAGCAAAAACAUUACAAAUCGAAGAUCUACUUCUUAGGUAAGUCAAAAAAAAUUAUAAUUUAGUUUUUUGUUUAUCAAUAUACGGGUAAAUUUUUAAUUUACAUAUCCGAUCCAUACAUGGUAACUUAUCAAUAUCCGAUCCAUACGUGGUAAUUUACAUAUCAGAUCUACUUCUCUUUUAUAUUUCUCAAUAUGGGGGCUCCGGCCGAGUUCUACCACAGACAUCUACUUUUUCUUCACAAAUUAUUUUAUAAAAAUUUAUCACCACAAUUUUCGACAAAUUGGAGGAACAAAAUCAAACUCGAUAAACAAAUUUUGAAGCACAUCAAACAAUAAAUUAUAUUUUUGCGUUAGAAAAUUGAAAAUACUAAUAAAAUUUAAAACUAAAAUAAUCAAUUGUUAUUUAAAUUUAUUUGUCAUAUAAUUUAUUGCUAAAUUUUUUCAAUGGAUCUACCAAUUUUUCUUAAAGUAUUAAUUAAAAAUAACUUUUUUCAAAUAAUUUUAAAAAUUAUUUUUUUGUAUUUUAUAAAAAAAAACUAUAAUAUGGUCAAAAGAAAGAAAGAAAGAUGUCUUCGUAUUUUAAAAAUUCUAACAUAUAAUAAUUUUAAAAAAUAAUAUAAAAUAAUUUUGGAAAAAUUAUGAUUUUGAGAAAAGUUUUUCUCUAAUCUUUUAUUUUAUAAAUUUUUAAAAUUCAAAUAAACGAAAGAAAAAAUUAAAAGAAUUUUAAAAGUUAAUCAAUUCUCACAAGUUUUCUAAGGAUUUUUUAAAAAUUUAUUUUCUUCAAAUUUUGAUUAAAUAUUUUUUAAAAGAAUAAAAAAUAAAAAAUUCUAGAUGUAAUUAUAGCCCUAUUCUGCUUGUUCUAGUCAUUAUAUGCUUCCUGAUCGAAUCAAUUUAUAGAUCUUGAAAAGUUUUUAGAAAAAAUAAAAUUUUCUAUAAUUUUAUCUUAUUAUACUUUUUUAAAUUCUAAAAAAGAAAUCAAAAGAAUUUCAAAGUUGAUUGAUAUGAUUUUCUUUUCAUCAUGUUGUUCUUUUUCUUAUUUCUUUGGAAUAGAUUUUACGAUAGUUGUCUUUAUGUUAAUAAAUUGUCAAAAAAUGAUAGUUGGCAGCAUGGACAAAUGAUUGGUGGGAACAGAUUUCAUUGGAAGUGCAUUACUGUAAUAUGGUCAGAAUGGGCGGAGGUGUCACCCGCCUAAAGAAACAUAUCGCUGGUGGUUUUUCUAAAGUAGUGAAAUGUCCUAAAGUCCCUCAGGAGAUAAGACAUGCAACAAAAAUUGAGUUACAAUAUACAAAGAUAGCAAAAAACAAAGUGAAAGACGAUCGGGAUGAACUAGAUAAACGAACGGCUCCCCCUGUUGACCCAUAUGAAGGUACAGGUGAUGAAUUAGAUGCUGAUACUAGAGCUACCAUGGAAGCAUAUCUACAAAAAGGAUGGCAGCAAGAUGAAGUCCAAUGACAUAAAGCACAAUUUGGACGCUCUCAGUUUGAUGCCCGUGGUGGGUCUAAGCCUGGCUCCGGAUCUGGUUCUACAUCAUCUAGUUUAGCUCUAAGUGGUUCUGUUGGCCGCAUGUUCGACAGAUUAAAAACAGGACCAAAAGGAAAAAAUGGAAGACAUCCAAAUAUUAUAGAUAUAGAUCCAAUGGCAUUUUCUGGCCCAGAUGCUCAACAAUAGCGCACAGAUAUAAUGCUAAACAAAGAUAAGAAAGGCAGAAUUGGUCGAGCAAUAGCAAAGUUUUAUCACCUCAGUCAUAUUUCUUCUCAUGCAGCAAGCACUUCAUAUUAUAGAUCAAUGAUUGCUAUCAUACAAAAGGAAAGUCCAAGAGUUGAACCCCCAACGUCGUAUGAGAUCGCUGGCAAAUAUCUUGACAUGGAGAUCAAUGAUAUCCAUGCAUAGGUAAAAAACUUCAAACAACAGUAGGAAAUGUAUGGUGUUAUCUUGAUGUGUGAUAGUGGGACAGGACCGACAAAAAUGAUCAUCAUAAUUUUUUUAAUUUAUUGCAAUGGCAAGGUGGUCUUCCACAAGUCAGUCGAUGCGACCAAUCGAUUUGAAGAUGCUGACUACAUAUAUAUACAUUAUUGGAGCAAGUUUUAAGUGAGAUUGAUGAGAAAUGUGUAGUACAGGUAGUAUCGAACAAUAGUGCAAACUUCAAGAAAGCUGGCAAACUACUUAUGCAAAAGCAUCCAUAUUUAUUUUGGACUACUUGUGCAGCGCAUUGCAUCAACCUAAUGAUGUCUGACUUUGGUGAGAAAAACUAGGUGAAAAAAACUAUAGAUACUGCACAACGUGUAUCUAAAUAUUUGUAUAAUUAUCUUUGGGUCCAUACUUUAAUGGUGAAAUUCACAGGACGAGAGCUCAUACAUCCUGGUAUCACACGAUUUGCUGCAAAUUUUAUCAUUCUAAACUGUAUUCUUCAAAAUAAAAAUAGAUUUAAGUCCAUGUUUCCAUCAGAUGAAUGACAAACUUCUCGUUAUGCCUCCACGGCUGAUGGAAGAUCGAUUGAGCAAAUAAUUCUGUCCGCUAAAUUUUGGGAUUAUGUGAAAGAGAUUGUUGAUAUUGUGGAGCCGGUAUAUGUAAUGUCCCGAAAAAAUAGUUAAUAUUAUUUUGCCGAAAUAUUUAUAGUUCUAGAUUUAGUCGACACGUCUGGACAGUAUCGGGACAACUCGGAAUUAAUUUGGACGCAAAAUGGACGUCACAAAUAAUUCCGAACUAGAGAUUUAUUCUCAGCUGGAAUACAUUAGAUAGGUGGAGCUUGUGGUACAUUGCACCAAAGCCAACCACCCUUAAUUGAGAAUUUGGACUGUUGCAUUCAGCUGAUAGUUGGCCUCCCAAUUCCCUCAUUCUUCUUCCUCCUCUUUUCCUCCUCCUUCUUCUUCUACUCCUCUCCCUGCUGUCCUCCAUGCGCAGGCAGCCAGCAACAUUCUACUGCAGUUUAGUGUUGUAGCAGCAGCAGUCCACUUGUGGCAGCAGCAGUGGACUUCUUCGCUUCCCUCUUCUUCUCGACGAACUAGAGCAAGCAACACCAGCAGUAACUUCAUCAUCAUCUUCUACUACUGCUUCCUCUUCAUCUUUGCUGGCUACAGGGACCUCACCAACACCAGUAUUGCUGCCAAAGCAUUUCAGCAGCAGCAAGACAAGCUUGAAGAUGGAUGCAAUUGGGUGAUCCCUGGGGCUCCAACUUCAAAAUUGAGCACAUGUAAUUGUGUGGGGGGAAGUUGGGGAGUCAGCCUAUAUCUUCCUUGAGCUGAAAUUGAAGGUUAGUGGCUUUAAUUUUAAAGUUGAUCAAAGUUGGUCCAAUGCUGAAAUUUCAGGCUGAUUUCGUCCACUGUUGGAAUUCAUUAAAGUUCGUUCAAAAUUUUUAUAGGAGCUGAGCUUUGAAAAGGUUGGGAGUGAUCUUGACUUCAUCCUCUACUGCGUAGAAUCUUGUUUGGAUCAAUUUGAAGGUAAAAUGAAUGAGAAAUUCAUUUUUCGUUGAGGUCGAAAACCCAAAAAGAAAUUGUUUUUCGUCAAUGCUGAAAUUUUGACAUUUAUCUUUUAUUUGUAGUGGAAUUUCAUAGGGGAAUAUUGGGUUUUUCUUGUAGUGGAAAGACCUAAGAUCACUCAUGGAUAAAUUCCAAUUCCCAAUUUCGUUGUGGGUUGGUUGGUGGAGCAAGAAGGAAGCGCAACUCACUGCUGGCAGCUUGGAAGCCAGCAGCUACCUCAGCUACAACAGGAAUCCAGUGGUGGUUUGGGGGGGGGGNGGUUGGUGGAGCAAGAAGGAAGCGCAACUCACUGCUGGCAGCUUGGAAGCCAGCAGCUACCUCAGCUACAACAGGAAUCCAGUGGUGGUUUGGGGGGGAGGACAACUUAGUGGCUACUCAAACUUCAAUUUCGAAUUCGAGGGUCCUUCGCAGUAAGGAAAGUGUCAGGGCUCAACUUGUCCCUAUUUGGAGUUGGAUUCAAGGUUAAUACGGCUGAAUUACAUCUAUUGUGCUAUACUGAAAUUUUCCAGGAAUUGAUCCCAUUCAUUAAUCGAAACUUCAAUUUCUCUGUAUGAUUCUAGUAAGGGAUUCUAGCGGAGCCACGCGUGAAUUCUAGUUGCUUAAAAUACGCUCCCAGCCGAAUUCGAAGGUACAUUGUUUUCCACUUGGACUAAUUGGGUUCCAAAAAGUCGAAUUCAUUCAACAUGUUGAUUUUCAUUGGAAACUCUAUCCGACUUUUAAUUUCAUCACUUCCGGCAGGGAUUUUUGGAUUUCGACGCCACUUUCCUUUUACUUGGAGUUAGAGAAAGGAGCUCGCGGAGUUUCAGAUCAACCCAUGGUUGGAUUAGCGAAUAAGGAGGGUUAAUGUCCACCGAAAUCUUCGGAAUUCUUCCUAAGUAACAUAUAAUUUCAGCAUGUAUAGUUAAAGUAUUGAUCAUCAUGUUUAGUGGCUCAAAAUUAUAGAUUUGCAUAUUUAUAUACGAAAUCUCAUUUUGGAGCAUGAUGUACUUAUUCUAGAAGUUUAUAAAAUGCUAAAUUGGGAAUUGGCUUAAGAGAAAACCUACACAUUGAACUUUGCGAUAAUUCUAUUAGAUUUAGCUUUAGGAGCUGUGUUUACCUUUGUAUCGCCGCUGUUAGUGCAUCGUGAGUAAUAUAUGGUAUCUUGGAGUUGCGAUGUCAACUUUGAUCUAUUGGAUCAAAGUGCGGAUUGAGCUAGUUGGACAUCAUCCCCGAGGGAUUUUGGAUGCGUGUGAAUGAAUUCUGGAGAUAAAUAAGUGUUUUGGCGCAAAUUGGGCGCGAAACGAAAUGUAAAGAAAAUUGUCAGAUUCCGACGCUAACUUUGAUUAAGAGAAUUAAAGUGUGCAGAGUAUCUAUAAGUCUGGAAUGACUCGUGUUAGAAUCGGAACGAAAACAGAAGAAUUGAAAUUUUCUGUACAGAAUGGGACUGAGAAAUUAGCAGAAAAUGCACAGUGUCAAAAAAUUCUGAAAAUUGGAGGAUAUGUCAGGAAUAUGUUUAUGAGGCCAGAUUUCAAGUUUCAUAUUAUUCUGACACCUGUAGAGAGAGAAAUUGAAUCCGAAAGUUAUCGGAUAAAGAUUGCAUUUCGGUACAGUUCGCAGUGACCAAAUGGGGUCGGAACUGAAAUGUUAAAAUUUCUUUGGACUUGUUAAGUAAAACCGAACAUGCCUGUCAAAUUUGAGCUCAAAUGGACUUUUAGAAGAGCCUGCGAAAGGUAUCUAAUCCGUGCGACUAAACGGAAUUAAGUCGAGGGGCAAUUUGGUAAUUAUACAUGGCUUAGUGGAUUUCCACUAAACCUGCCAGAAGGGGAGCCCUCAGCCAUCCUUAUCUCCCUCUGGUUCCAUACGUAGAGAGAGAGAAAGAGAAAAGAGAGAGGGAAGGAGAAGAGAAGAAGAAGAAGAAGAAGAAGAAGAAGAAGUAGAAAAAAAAAGAAAGGUAGAGUUUUUAUUUCUCUCCCUCUCUACCCUCUCCCUGCUGCUACUGAUUGUAGCAGCAGCAGCAACAAUAGCUCAGCAGCAGCAGCAAGCUCCUGCUGGUGCAGCUGUAGCACCAGCAGCAGCUGCUGGAGUAGCAGCAGCAGCUGCUGGAGUAGCAGCAGCAGCAGCAUGCGCCAGCAGUAGCAGCUGCAAGCAGUAGCAGCUGCAAGCAGCAGCAGCAGUGCAACAGCAGCAGCUGCAGCAAUCAGCAGCAGCAGCUGCAGCUAGCAGCAGUAGUAGUGGCACCAGCAUGAGCUGCUGUCAGCAGCAGCAGCAGCAGCAGUGGCAACUGCUGUCAGCAGCAGCUGUCAGCAGCAGCAGCAGCAGUGCUGCUGACAGCAGCAGCAGUGGCANAGUAGCAUCAGCUGCAGCAGCCAGCAGCUGCUGGAGCAGCAGCUGCAGCCAGCAUCAGCAGCAGCCUUAGCAGCAGGAGCAGCUAGCAGCAGCAGCAGCCUUAGCAGCAGCCUGCGCAGCAGUAGCAUUAGCAGUAGCAGCUGCAGCAAUCAGCAGCAGCAGCUGCAGCUAGCAGCAGCAGCAGUGGCACCAGCAUUAGCAGCAGAGCAGCAGCAGCUCAGCAGGAGCUGCAGCAGCAGCAGCAGCAGCAGCAGCUUAGCAGCAGUGGCAGCAGUGGCAGCUGCUGUCAGCAGCAGCAGCAGCAGCAGCAGCAGUGGCAACAGUGGCAGCAGCAGCAGCUGCCCUGCAGGGCCAGCAAGAAAGAAAGAAAAAAAAAGAAAGAAAGAAAGAAAAAAAGAAAGAAAGAAGGAAAAGAAAGAAAGAGAAAAGAAAGAAAGAAGGAAAAGAAAGAAAGAAAGAAAGAAAGAAUACGAAUGAAAAAUGAGAAAAAGGGAGAAAUGGAAAGAAAAGAGCGAAACUAAGUUGAAUUGCAUAGAAACGGGUUUAAUGAAUUUUGACCCCGGUAAUGCACUUUUGCAGGAUAGGAGUCCUAAUGCGAAAUUGACUGCGUGCAAACCAAAUUGAGGGUAAAACAAACUCGUUGGCGAAGUCGGUUCGGCAAUCCGACGAACCUACGCAAAGAUAGCGCCAAAAGGACAAUUUCGGCUACGAUUGUCGCAAGCGCGGGUCGCGGUUCUCGGGAAAGUGCGAGAAGUGGAUUUCUCGCGUUCAGGUAUCAAAUAAAGGUAAGUUGAGUUCAUAUCUAAUUAUAAUUGAGUUGACUACCUUAGAGAAGAGGCUCACAUGGAUUUAUUGCAACUUUAAGUUGCAGCCUGGGAGUUUACAGCUUAUGAGAAGUGGUCGAGCACCAACCUGGUACUCUUGGUGCUGAGGGAAAACCUUGGAGAAGCUUCGAAUUAGGUAAAUGAUGCUAAACUCUUGAUUGGAUCAUGGGUACUUGUAUAGAAAUGAGUUGAAUAAUAUAUAAUUAAACAUGCAGAAAUUCAAAAGAGACUGAAUUAAUAAGAGGAAGUGAGGAAUUGAUUGGUUUACAAGUUUCCUGCUGUGUGAUUGAUAGAAUUGGAAGAAGUAGGCUGUGGAGAGCUGCUGAGUGGGGUUUGGACUGAUUUGGAGUAGCUGAAUUGAAAAGUUCAAUUCAGGAAAUUGAAAUUCAGCUGACGAAAACUUGGGAAUUGAGAUAAAAGACUUGUUGUUCGAAUUGGGUAGUUGUAACUACUAUGAAGUAGUUUCUCAACGAGCCAAUUACUAUAUGCAUGCAGGAAUUUCUACGAAGCUCUAAGUAGAACAUGUAGAGGGAAUGAAAUUCAGCCUACACCAUUAACUGUUAGAGUUGAAAUAGAACUUGAUUGAGCUUUAAAUUCAGGUAAGGUCAAUGCAAAUUCUUGAGUCCAUGAGUAAUAGUUACUCCAGGAAAAUUACAAACGUUAGAACUAAUCGUUCUACAUUUAUAGUAGCUGCCCAAGAGGAUGUGAAAUGCUGAAAAUUCAGCCUAAGGUUAGAUUUCAGCAUGAUGCUGAAUUUAAUAGUAAAGCUGAAAGUUGAAAUGACUGAAUGGCAAACGGAAAUGACUAUGUUUAAGAGAGAACACCGAGAUUCAAGUGGCAUUACAAGGACAUGCUACUUGGUUAUUCUGUGAGAGUUGUAAGCUGGAAGUAAAUCAAUUAAAUUGAAUUGGAGUUGCAGUUGAGGUCAGAUUACUAUCUUGAUGCGGUCUUAAUGCUGGAAAUUCAGCAUAAACUAGGAUUUCAGCAUCAUGCUGAAAUCCUAAGGAAGCUGCAACCUUUCAACCUCAAAUUCCUGAAUUAGUGUAAUGACGAUUGCUGAAAAGAAAGAAUAAGAGGCUCCUUUAAUGCUGAAAAUACAGCAUGGGAAUGAUUUCAGCUUGAUGCUGAAAUCAGCGUUGAGUGGAUAUAUGUAGUAUAUACACAUACAUUGAUACUUGGAGUUGAAAGGCUAACUUUUAAAUUAUGAGAUUGGGACUCAAGUUUAAUCCAUUUUAAUUUCCUAUAAAUGAAAGUAAAUUUGCCUAAAAGUCUAAAUUGACAUUCUGACAGGUCGACGACGCGCUAAUUACGGUAGAGACCGUUCUAGUUCCAUUUGCACUGAGUCGCGAGUGAUAGUUGUCGACGCAUUCCGAGACCUUGAUCUUAGUUGAUUGACACCACUACAGGUGGGUGGUGCUAUCCGAAAUCUUUGAAUCACCUUUUAUGUCUAUGAUUAUUCAUUGAGCAUAUUUAUAAUUGUUUAGUCAUGCAUUGUAGGGUAUUUGGCAUUGUGCAAGUGAAAAUGUGAAUUUCUAUCAACAGUGAGAACUUGUGAACUUUAGAAUGUGGACAUAGAACCCUAUGAAUGUAUGGACUAUAACAAUAGUGAACUUGGUGACAUUCUAACUAGAGGUUUGGUUAGCAUCGAGAAAUGAAUUUGUGAAACUAGCAUAAAGAACUAGUUAGAGUAAA